CAGCACCUCAAGUGGUCAGGAUGAUUAUUGGGCCUAAAGCAUCCGUAGCUUGCUUUGUUAGUUUUCGGUUAAAUCCAUACGCUCAACGUACAGGCUGCCGGGAAUACUGCAGAGCUAGGGAGUGGGAGAGGUAGACGGUACUCGGUAGGAAGGGGUAAAAUCCUUUGAUCUAUUGAUGACCACCUGUGGCGAAGGCGGUCUACCAGAACACGUCCGACGGUGAGGGAUGAAAGCUGGGGGAGCAAACCGGAUUAGAUACCCGAGUAGUCC
RNAcentral lists this ribosomal RNA (270 nucleotides) under uncultured archaeon. Its description in RNAcentral is "partial 16S ribosomal RNA". It matches the Rfam family "Archaeal small subunit ribosomal RNA", at positions 477 to 747 of the family's 1478-position model. The record is from RNAcentral.